RNAcentral lists this ribosomal RNA (864 nucleotides) under delta proteobacterium SCGC AAA240-P21. Its description in RNAcentral is "SSU rRNA". It matches the Rfam family "Bacterial small subunit ribosomal RNA", at positions 33 to 913 of the family's 1533-position model. Lineage: Bacteria; Deltaproteobacteria. The record is from RNAcentral.
ACGCUGGCGGCAUGCCUAACACAUGCAAGUCGAACGAGAAAGUUCCUUCGGGAGCAAUUAAAGUGGCGCACGGGUGAGUAACGCGUAGACAAUCUGCCCUUCAGUCUGGGACAACUUUUCGAAAGGAGAGCUAAUACCGGAUAACAAUGCAUGACACAAGUUGUAUAUUUGAAAGCUUUAUGUGCUGAAGGAGGGGUCUGCGUCCCAUUAGCUAGUUGGUAAGGUAAAGGCUUACCAAGGCAACGAUGGGUAGCGGGUUUGAGAGGACGAUCCGCCACACUGGAACUGAGACACGGUCCAGACUCCUACGGGAGGCAGCAGUGGGGAAUAUUGCACAAUGGAGGCAACUCUGAUGCAGCAAUGUCGCGUGAGUGAAGAAGGCCCUUGGGUCGUAAAGCUCUUUUAUGGGGGAAGAUGAUGACGGUACCCCAAGAAUAAGCACCGGCUAACUAUGUGCCAGCAGCCGCGGUAAUACAUAGGGUGCGAGCGUUGUUCGGAAUUACUGGGCGUAAAGGGCGCGCAGGCGGAAUAGUAAGUCGGAGGUGAAAGCCCGGGGCUCAACCCCGGAGGGUCUUUCGAAACUGCUAAUCUAGAGAGGGUCAGGGGCCGGCAGAAUUCCUGGUGUAGAGGUGAAAUUCGUAGAUAUCAGGAGGAAUACCGGUGGCGAAGGCGGCCGGCUGGGGCCACUCUGACGCUGAGGCGCGAAAGCGUGGGGAGCAAACAGGAUUAGAUACCCUGGUAGUCCACGCCGUAAACGAUGAGCACUGGACGUCCGGAGGGUUCGACCCUUCUGGGUGUCUCAGCUAACGCAUUAAGUGCUCCGCCUGGGGAGUACGGUCGCAGAACUAAACUAAAAUGGAUGCG